GCAGCCAUUUAUGCUGCGGCGCCCGGGGAGCAGUUGGGGGGUUCGGUGCCUUGCUCAAGGGCACCUCAGUCGUGGCCAGCCCGAGACUCGAACUCACAACCUUAGGAUUACGAGUCAGACUCUCUGGUGGUGGUAGUAAUACUAGUUAUAGUCAUAGCAGUGGUGGUGCCAAAAGUAAUAGUAGUUACAGCAGUGGUAGUAAUAGUAGUGUUAGUGUUAGCUGGUAGUAGUAGAAGUAGUAAGUGUAUUAAUAGUAGUAGUGGUAGUUGUCCCCUGUGCAAUCAGAGGACAGCUACUUACCAGAAAGGGUGAAGCCAGCCGACUGCAUCUGCUUAAUAACUACAACAGUAUCUGAAGCCCGAAGGAAAACGCUAUCGACCCUCUUCCACAUACACAAGUUAACACAUGGUUGACUGGUGGCCCUGUGAUGUUAAUAUUGCUACUUUAGGUCUAAAAGAUUCUACACUUUUUAUUCUUGGAGUGUUCAUUAAGUUUCCAGAAGAUCUGUGUGUGAUUUCAGCUCAGCUGAGACCUUCAUGACAUCCUGUCUGUGUGUCUCAGUUCUAUUUGCAGGCACGGUUCUCAUGGCGCGGUGCGAGACUGUUGAGGCCGCUGUUGCAGUUCCUGCUGGUGAUGUUAGCCGUGUACACCGGGCUCAGCCGGAUCUCCGACUACCGCCAUCAUCCCUCUGAUGUCCUCACUGGCUUCCUGCAGGGAGGAAUCACUGCAUACUGGGUGGCAUUCCACAUCUCCUCCAUGUUUAAAACCUGUCCUGCAGACUGCUCGCCUAACUGUCUCCCCCUGGACAGCCCUAUGUCUCUGUCCAGCCGUCAGACAGAGUGCUAGCGACUAGUCUUAGGACACAAAGAUACACGGCGCUGCCUUGAUGUUUGAACCGAACCGAUUGACAUCAGUCGAUGGACACGGACAAGCUUUGGGAAGGUAGAGGAAGAGGAGGAGGAGGAGAAGAAUGUCCAGAGGAAUGUCCACAUAUACAUACCGUCCCACUGCCUACGAGUCCUGCAUAAAUAAGAUAUAUGACACAGAUAUUAUUUUUUGUCUUCUAUGUGAGCCUUUAUGUUUAUAUUUUACUUUAAACAUCCAGUAAAUAUGUAGUCGAAGCUGCUAAUAAUUGUAUUAUUCCGUAGUGACACUUAUACAGGAGCCUCUGUGGAGUUAUGUGGAGAAUCCACAGGUCAAUCGCCUGCAGCUUAUUGGAGCGAUGCCACUUUGACGGACAGACGUACUGACCAAUCACGAGAGUUCUGUGGUUACAAGAGACACCGGGCUUCAUUUAUUAAACUUUAUACCGAUUCGUUUAUUUGUAAAUCGCUUAUUUCACAGGACACGGUAUCGUCUUCGAAUCCCGUCAUUAUCCAUGAUGGAGUUACUGAGAUUUUAAGUUUAAAUUGCAUAUUUAUUUCAGUUACACACUCAGUUCCAUGUUACAUCAGCUACACAUCAGGAAGUGAAUCCAAAACAUAAUCCGUAAAUUAAGAAAAAAUAGACUAGCCGAUUAAUUAGGACAAAAGUUUUGGCGCCCUGUAAAAGGAAGAAGAGUUUGUGUGUGUGUGUGUGUGUGUGUGUGUGUGUGUGUGUGUUCAGCACCUGAUGCUC
Molecule: long non-coding RNA, 1617 nt
Organism: Tachysurus fulvidraco (yellow catfish)
Lineage: Eukaryota; Metazoa; Chordata; Actinopteri; Siluriformes; Bagridae
Exons: 2
Source: RefSeq, a predicted model, not a curated record